This 392-nucleotide ribosomal RNA is filed under the name uncultured bacterium. RNAcentral's name for it is "partial 16S ribosomal RNA". It matches the Rfam family "Bacterial small subunit ribosomal RNA", at positions 523 to 918 of the family's 1533-position model. The record is from RNAcentral.
AUACAUAGGGGGCAAGCGUUAUCCGGAAUUAUUGGGCGUAAAGCGUGCGCAGGCGGCCAUUUAAGUCAGCGGUUAAAUCGUGGGGCUCAACCCCAUUCUGCCGUUGAUACUGGGUGGCUUGAUUGCGGUCGAGGUUGGCGGAAUUCGUUGUGUAGCGGUGAAAUGCAUAGAUAUGACGAAGAACACCGAUUGCGUAGGCAGCUGACCAGACCGCAAAUGACGCUCAUGCACGAAAGUGCGGGGAUCGAACAGGAUUAGAUACCCUGGCAGUCCGCACAGUAAACGAUGAAUACUUGUUUUCGGCGAUAUAAUGUCGGAGGCAAAGCGAAAGCGAUAAGUAUUCCACCUGGGGAGUACGCCGGCAACGGUGAAACUCAAAGGAAUUGGCGGGG